This 1718-nucleotide long non-coding RNA is filed under the name Salmo salar (Atlantic salmon). RNAcentral's name for it is "lncRNA (ENSSSAG00000115023.1)". Lineage: Eukaryota; Metazoa; Chordata; Actinopteri; Salmoniformes; Salmonidae. The record is from RNAcentral.
CGCCUGCAUGCUGACUUAAGGUCAUCAGUUGAAAGGUGUUUCCUCCAACACAUUGCUGCAGCUGGCUUCCGGGUUAAGCGAGCGGAUGUUAUGAAGCGCGGUUUGGAGAAGGAGGCCUGACUCGACCUUGGCCCCUCCCGAGGCCGUUGGGGAGUUCGCAGCGAUGAGACAAGAUCGUAAUAUCCCGAAAUUGGGGAGAAAAAGGGGGUAACAUUACAAAAAAAAAAAAAAAAAAGAUUUAAUAACACAAGAGGUACACAAGAAUGGAGCUACAUACAGGGAGUACCAGUACCAGAUCAAUGUGGAGCUAUAUACAGGGAGUACCAGUACCAGAUCAAUGUGGAGCUAUAUACAGGGAGUACCAGUACCAGAUCAAUGUGGAGCUAUAUACAGGGAGUACCAGUACCAGAUCAAUGUGGAGCUAUAUACAGGGAGUACCAGAUCAAUGUGGAGCUAUAUACAGGGAGUACCAGUACCAGAUCAAUGUGGAGCUAUAUACAGGGAGUACCAGUACCAGAUCAAUGUGGAGCUAUAUACAGGAAGUACCAGUACCAGAUCAAUGUGGAGCUAUAUACAGGGAGUACCAGUACCAGAUCAAUGUGGAGCUAUAUACAGGGAGUACCAGAUCAAUGUGGAGCUAUAUACAGGGAGUACCAGUACCAGAUCAAUGUAGAGCUAUAUACAGGGAGUACCAGUACCAGAUCAAUGUGGAGCUAUAUACAGGAAGUACCAGUACCAGAUCAAUGUGGAGCUAUAGACAGGGAGUACCAGGGUUACGAGAUAUAUGAGGUAGAUAUGUACAUGAAGGCAGGGUAAAGAUAAUAGACAUCAGGAUAGAUAAUAAUAAGAGUAAAAUAAAGAACAGAGUAGCAGCAGCAAAUUAAGAGUGUAAAAGUGUGUGUGUAUGUGUGAGUGUAUAUAUAGUGUGUAUAUACAGUAUAGUCUUGUGAGUGUGCAUAGAGUCAGUGCAAGAUAGUCUGGGUAACCAUCAACUAUUGAGCAGUCUUAUGGCUUGGGGGUAGAAGCUGUCUCGGAGCCUGUUGGUCUGAGAGCCAAUGCUCUGGUACCGUUUGCCGGACGGUAGCAGAGUGAACAGUCUAUGGUUUGGGUGGCUGGAGUCUGGCAAUUUUUGGGGCCUUCCUCUGACACCACCUGGUAUAGAAGACCUGGAUGGCAGGGAGCUCGGCACCCGUGAUGUACUGGGCUGUCCACAUUACCCUCUGUAGCGCUUUUUGGCCGGGUGUAGUGGAUUUGCCAUACCAGGUGAUGCUGCAGCCAGUCAAGAUGCGUUCUAUGGUGCAGCUGUAGAAUUUUUUGAGGGCCCUUGCCAAAUAAUUUCAGCCUCCUGAAGGGCAAGAGGUGCUGUCGUUACCCUCUUCACGACUCUGUGGGUUUGUGUGGACCAUGUUAAUUCCUUAGUGAUGUGGAAAAUGAGGAACUUGAAGCUCUCGACCCCCUCCACUACAGCCCCGUCGAUGUGAAUGGGGGCGUGCUCGCCCCUCUUUCUCCUGUAGUCCAUGUUCAGCUGCUUGACAAAGAUAAGUUUUUAUUAUUUCACAGACAACCUUUAGACUGAAUAUUGAUUAAUUGUCCCCAUGGGGCAUAAAAUGUGGUUUAACCCAUUUAUGUUGCGUAACAUACUGUCUUGUCAACAAUUCAAUCAUGUUUUUCACCAAAGUAAGUAUUUUGAAUAAAAACUACAUGUACCCUAUUCUUAG